GUUGAACGCUGGCGGCGUGCCUAAUACAUGCAAGUCGAGCGAACAGACGAGGAGCUUGCUCCUCUGACGUUAGCGGCGGACGGGUGAGUAACACGUGGAUAACCUACCUAUAAGACUGGGAUAACUUCGGGAAACCGGAGCUAAUACCGGAGAAUAUAUUGAACCGCAUGGUGCAAUAGUGAAAGACGGUUUUGCUGUCACUUAUAGAUGGAUCCGCGCCGCAUUAGCUAGUUGGUAAGGUAACGGCUUACCAAGGCAACGAUGAGUAGCCGACCUGAGAGGGUGAUCGGCCACACUGGAACUGAGACACGGUCCAGACUCCUACGGGAGGCAGCAGUAGGGAAUCUUCCGCAAUGGGCGAAAGCCUGACGGAGCAACGCCGCGUGAGUGAUGAAGGUCUUCGGAUCGUAAAACUCUGUUAUUAGGGAAGAACAACUGUGUACGUAACUAUGCACGUCUUGACGGUACCUAAUCAGAAAGCCACGGCUAACUACGUG
This 497-nucleotide ribosomal RNA is filed under the name uncultured bacterium. RNAcentral describes it as "partial 16S ribosomal RNA". It matches the Rfam family "Bacterial small subunit ribosomal RNA", at positions 28 to 507 of the family's 1533-position model. The record is from RNAcentral.